Molecule: long non-coding RNA, 823 nt
Filed under: Nicotiana tabacum (common tobacco)
Lineage: Eukaryota; Viridiplantae; Streptophyta; Magnoliopsida; Solanales; Solanaceae
Description: long non-coding RNA (NTAB_LNC009968)
Source: RNAcentral
CCGUGUUCAGGAUUCAUCACCAAGAAUCUCUUUACGUAGCGGAGAACCCUGCAAAUGGAUGAGAAACUUGGUCGUUGAUAUGGAUCUGUAUGCCAACACUUCUUUGUCAAGCUUGUCACAUAUUUUGGUGAGUGAAAUGGGAAUAAUGGCCUCUCUCCUGCCCUUAUAUUUCUACUCAUUUUAUCUCCUUGUAGAUGGCUAUCUUCAAAGGGAACUUUCCCUGUUAAUACCUCAAAACAUAUCAUCCCAAAACUGUACACAUCAGACUUCUCAGUAUACUUGAUGCUCCCUCCAUCCCCCGACUGCUCUUGUUCAGCUAGGACUUCUGGGGCAAACCAAAUGAACGGGAGCGUCCCAUUAUUUUGACUCACAUGAGCUUUCUGAGGAAGCUUGAUAGAACAUGAUGAGCCAAAUCCACAAACCUUUGCAUGUAAGUACCCUUCUGUAGUUAUGUUCCUCGCCUUGACAAGGAUGUUGGAAGGACUCAGUUCACCAUGAUAUACUUUCUUUGAGUGGAGGUAUUCCAUGCCCCUUGCAAUCUGAAGCAGUAAAUCAAUUGCAACUGGAAGAGAAAAUGGUACGCGCUUUCUUGGUCCACAGAUCUCUUUGAUGUAACUAGAUAAAUCUUUGUUCAUAAGUUCCAUGAUUAAGAAACAUUCUCUCUUUUCUUCAUCAGUGAAACCGCAGGAGAUGUGCAUUAUAUUUGGAUGCGAGAGACUCAGUUCUUGAGUGAUCUCUGGAAUCAGGGGCUUAAUGUCCCCAAACAAAUGCCUUAAACAGAAGGUUUCCCCCAACCAUUGGAUCUCCUUGUAUUGGCUUCCAC